UCGAGCGGACAGAUGGGAGCUUGCUCCCUGAUGUUAGCGGCGGACGGGUGAGUAACACGUGGGUAACCUGCCUGUAAGACUGGGAUAACUCCGGGAAACCGGGGCUAAUACCGGAUGGUUGUUUGAACCGCAUGGUUCAAACAUAAAAGGUGGCUUCGGCUACCACUUACAGAUGGACCCGCGGCGCAUUAGCUAGUUGGUGAGGUAACGGCUCACCAAGGCAACGAUGCGUAGCCGACCUGAGAGGGUGAUCGGCCACACUGGGACUGAGACACGGCCCAGACUCCUACGGGAGGCAGCAGUAGGGAAUCUUCCGCAAUGGACGAAAGUCUGACGGAGCAACGCCGCGUGAGUGAUGAAGGUUUUCGGAUCGUAAAGCUCUGUUGUUAGGGAAGAACAAGUACCGUUCGAAUAGGGCGGUACCUUGACGGUACCUAACCAGAAAGCCACGGCUAACUACGUGCCAGCAGCCGCGGUAAUACGUAGGUGGCAAGCGUUGUCCGGAAUUAUUGGGCGUAAAGGGCUCGCAGGCGGUUUCUUAAGUCUGAUGUGAAAGCCCCCGGCUCAACCGGGGAGGGUCAUUGGAAACUGGGGAACUUGAGUGCAGAAGAGGAGAGUGGAAUUCCACGUGUAGCGGUGAAAUGCGUAGAGAUGUGGAGGAACACCAGUGGCGAAGGCGACUCUCUGGUCUGUAACUGACGCUGAGGAGCGAAAGCGUGG
This 720-nucleotide ribosomal RNA is filed under the name Bacillus subtilis subsp. subtilis. Its description in RNAcentral is "bacterial SSU rRNA". It matches the Rfam family "Bacterial small subunit ribosomal RNA", at positions 62 to 764 of the family's 1533-position model. Lineage: Bacteria; Bacillati; Bacillota; Bacilli; Caryophanales; Bacillaceae. The record is from RNAcentral.